Molecule: long non-coding RNA, 580 nt
Filed under: Sorghum bicolor (sorghum)
Lineage: Eukaryota; Viridiplantae; Streptophyta; Magnoliopsida; Poales; Poaceae
Description: long non-coding RNA (SBIC_LNC018495)
Source: RNAcentral
CAAACAAAAGCAAACUAAGCUUCCACUUGAGCCCCUUUACCAGGAGUAUCAUCGGGUGCAUCCAAAAUGGUUUCUUAGCCUAUGAUGCAUUAGGUGCUAACUGUGUACCUAUCUUGCACCAAAACUAACUUUGUCUCCAAACAAACCGAAGCGAGAUUCCAUAUGACACAUGUCAUCUAAUAGUUCUAUUGGGGUGCGUCCAAAUGGAUUUCUUAGCAUAUGGUAUGUUCCAUGCAAACCAUGCACCUAUCUUGCAUCAAGAUUAGCACUAUCUCCGAACAGAUCGAACCGACCUUCCACUUGAGCCUCUUCACCUAGGAUUAUCAUCGGGUGCUUCCAUAAUGGUUUCUGAGCCUAUGGUGCAUUAUACACAAACCAUGCACCAAUCUUGCACCUAAACUAACACCACUGUCUCCAAACAGAUUGAAGCGAGAUUCCAUAUGACACACAUGAUCUAGGAGUUCUAUCGGGUGCGUCCAAAUUGAUUUCUAAGAAUAUGGUACGUUCCGUGCAAACCGUACACCUAUCUUUCAUCAAGAUUAGCACUAUCUCCAAACAGACCGAACCGAGCUUUCACUUG